This 497-nucleotide ribosomal RNA is filed under the name uncultured bacterium. RNAcentral's name for it is "partial 16S ribosomal RNA". It matches the Rfam family "Bacterial small subunit ribosomal RNA", at positions 28 to 507 of the family's 1533-position model. The record is from RNAcentral.
GAUGAACGCUGGCGGCGUGCCUAAUACAUGCAAGUCGAGCGAACAGACGCGGAGCUUGCUCCUCUCACGUGAGCGGCGGGCGGGUGUGUAACGCGUGUAUACCCUACCUGUAUGUCGGGGAUCACUUCGGGAAACCGGAGCUAAUCCCGUAUAAGCUAUUGAACCGCAUGGUUCAUUAGUGAGAUACGGCUUUUCGGUCACUACUAGAUGGAUCCGCGCCGCAUUAGGUAGUUGGGAAUGUACCGGCUUACCAAGGCGACCAUGCGUAGACGACCUAGGAGGGUGAUAGGCCACCUGGGAACUGGGACACGGUCCAGACUCCUGCGGGAGGCCGCAGUAGGGAAUCUUCCGCAGUGGGCGAGAGCCUGACGGAGCAAGGCCGAGUGAGUGAUGAAGGUCUUCGGAGCGUAAAAAUCUGUUAUUAGGGAAGAACCAAUGUGUAAGUAACCAUGCACGUCUUGACGGUACCUAAUCAGAAAGCCACGGCUAACUACGUG